CACCAAGUACAUUUUUAAGCAUAAUGCAUUACUCAAAUUGUAGUGACAAUUUAGACAAAGAAAAGGUAUUUACAAAGUGUCAUGUGUACACGUAUGAAUCAAUAUGUAGUCAUCCGCAAGUAUCUACAACAUAGUAGUUUACAAAAUCAUCCAUGAAAUGGUAUUUUACAACCUAGAUUGAUAAAAAUAUAUCACUCAACAAUUUAGAAAACAGUGCAAUCCAGUUCGAACAAACAAAACACUUAAACUAUUGAAGUUCUUGUCGUCGGCCCUCCUGAUGGAAACCUUGAUGGAAACUAUCACGUCAUCCAAAUUGUGAUGGAAACCUUGAUGGAAACUAUCACGUCAUCCAAAUUGUGAUGGCAGCACCAAGUAGCCGAGUACACAAUCAUACCUAGCAUAUUUACAAAACAAUUAGAUAUUUGUAGGUAUGAAUAGAUAGUAGAAACAAGAGAACUGCAACAAAUGUAAACAUGAAAAUCUAUUAUAUAAUUAUAAAACGAUACAAAACAAAUGGCAUAGAUGUAACAAUAAAAGAGCUAAAAAGAAUGGAUGUGAUCAAACAAAGUUUAUCAAACGAAGCCUAUGACUGAGAAGUGCAAAACAAAACACAUGGAAGGAAACUUGCCAUCUCUUCACAAAAAAGAAGACACUUCCCAUCAUCACGUGUGUUGUACAGACAUACAAUAAGUUCUCGAAUAUAACUAUGCUAUUAGAAAAUCAAUCAACGUGAUGCUAAAAAAUCUUCUUACCUACAAGGAAAUAUAUUACAAAGCCUAGCCCCCUUGUACAUAGCACACGUACAUGAACGAGCAGAAUUUGCCCAACAUUCAAACAGCCAUCCAACAAAAAUGGGUGUACUUCAUGGUCAUAGUAAUACCUUGCUUUCAACGAAAAAUUUAAUUUCCCUAUUUGUAUGACAACAAUACAAAUCAGUAAAAAUAAAAGAAUGUCUAUCAACCUAUUUUAGAUGUCGGGACAAAUUAUUAGUAAAAACUAAAACACGCCAUACAUAUACACUGAAGUUUUCUCUAGAGCAUAAUUUACAAUGGAUUUUCAAAAUAAUUACAUUGCUUCCAUAGAUGAAUAAUUAUACACAGAAAUAUUCUCUAGAUGAAUGGCUUAUGUAGAUGAAUCAAUGGGCAAUGGAAAAUGUAUCCCUUAAGUGUAAUGGUUGGUGGUGUCCAGAUUAUUAUUAUUUUCUUCCUAGAAAACUAUUAGCAAAAGCACAAAUACGAAUACACUCGCUAAUGUCCACACCCUCUAAUAUUUUCUGAAGAUUGAUUUUACUUAGCUGAAUUUUGAGUACAAAUUUCCAAUGGUUUACUCUGUAGAAUGUUUUCACAGUUAUAGCUAACUUGGUCUAAGAAUAUGAAAUUGUCUACACUAGCUGACUUAGUUAUUUCUCCUCUGCUUUAGCUUUUAAAUAUGAUAUUUUAAAAGCAAUCUCUGAAUUUACUAUAUCUGACUAGCUGUACUGCAUCACAAUAUUACCUUCAGUGAAAUAUUACCUUCAACAUUGCCUUGAGUACACGUGCACCACACAAGGCCGGUCCUAAGAUUUGGGGGCCCGGGGCGAAACUAAAACUUAGAGGCCCUUGACAGAAAUAUGAGAAUAUUAGGCUAUGAAGAAAGUACACACUAUGUGUGAUGCAAAGUCAUGUUUAAUGCUUGAAUUACACGUGUAGGAGUAUAUUAUUUCAGGUGUCAAAAGGGACAGAAGACUCCAAAAAUGGUCCAAAAAUAAUUUGCAUCCAAAAUACAUGGUUGCAUUCACAUUUUGAGUCCUUCCAAUGACUAUUGUAAGACUGUUACAGCAAACAUGAGUAUAUGAGGAUUUAGAUAGAUGAGAAAAUCAAUACGAGUGAUGUGGAAAUAUUUUGUCAUAUCUUCUAAACUUACCUUUGUAUCUUUAAAAAUCAAAUUAUAUAGUGCCGAGAUAGUGAAAAGUUACUCCCGCGAAGUUGUAGGGAUGAUUAAAUUAAUAAUUUGUUACCCAAUUGUGCUAUCAUUGCUGAGUUCAUCUAUAAACUCACCACUAUGAGCAGCAUCCAAACCUCGUUCUUGCUUGAGAUCUAUAACACCACAUGAAAAUCAAUAUUAAAAGGCAGAAUCAAAACGAUUAAUUGUACAAACAGUGGAAAAUGUCGACCGACUGACAAUACUCGCCUUUAUAUAAAGGACACAAAGCAUCAGCGCAAAAAUACGGAGCAGGCGCCGCUGAUCUACUGCACGCACCACUUGAGAAGUUGAGAUCUGGAACUCCUCCUUCAUGGUUCAUCUGGCACGAUCUGAGCUAGAGAAGAAAAGGUCGCAUCCGCAGCAUGCCUGAUGCGAUGCAUGCGUGUAUUCCUGGAUCCCACGAGUCAAUGCAUGGGUUACGACGAUGUAUCAGACUUCCCAUCUACAAUACUUCUUGGAUUAUGGAACUGCUACUACUUGGGUGAUGGGCCAGACCCAAUGACGUUUUUUUUCUGCAGCUAAAUUAUAGGCCUAAUGCAAAGAAAUACGUACUUGGACCCAGCCAUUAGGGUCGCCCAUGUACCUCACCUUGACGGGGUGGAGAUGGAUCUGUGGCAGUGUCGUCACCUCCUGUACCUCACCUUGGCUCGCCGCCGGAUGGAGAUGGAUCUGUUCCCACCGCCAGCGACCUCUGGGACUGCCAAAUCUAAUAGUCCGUGCCGCCGCUACCACUGACGCCUCAGCUUAGGGGUAGGACUGGGUCGUCGUAGCUUGAUGGUCAAUCUGAGUGGAGAGGGGCAUAGCAUGGCCUUGAUGGGGAGGUAUCCGGCGCGGGAGAGAUGGGGAGAUCCAGCGGUGGGUGGUUCGGUGCCGGCGCCAACAUGGAGCAGCGCGAGGAGGAUAGGUGGUGUGGCGGCGGCUAAUUGUUGGUACGAGAGGGAGAUGGGAGAGGGGAACUAGGGUUAGGCUAGUGUGGAUCCUACAUAAAUGGAUUGGCCCGAAAAUUUCGAGUCCGCG
RNAcentral lists this long non-coding RNA (2979 nucleotides) under Hordeum vulgare. RNAcentral's name for it is "long non-coding RNA (HVUL_LNC005261)". Lineage: Eukaryota; Viridiplantae; Streptophyta; Magnoliopsida; Poales; Poaceae. The record is from RNAcentral.